AGCUGAUGUUACAUCACCAGGUUGAUCAGACCAGAAGGAAUAUGUUCACCUAGCCGAUGCAAAUUUGAGGUGGAAAAUAAGGACCAAAGGGGUUGAAAUGAGGCAUGGGGUUUCGAAGUGCUGAGAAAAGUCAGCUUGGAAUAAAAAUGCAAAGAAAGAGGGUGGGAGGGAGGAUGGGAGAGAGAGGGAGGGGGAAGGAGAGAGAGAGAUUGAAAAAUCAAUCCCCCAGCCACAGGCAGCCCAGCUGGUGGGCACCAGAUGGGAAAGCGAUGAUCUACAGAUCAGGGCCUGUUAACAAGGCUGAUGGCAACCCAAGGAAACCACCUGCAGCCGGCUUUGCAGAAAAUCAGCACCCAAGGAUGGGGCUUCCAGUAAUCCAUCGCAGGAACCACCGAGCCAUGAACUUGUUAAACGGUAGCCGCUGGAGGCCGGCUCAGCUCACGCUCAGCUGCAAACGGGGCGAAUCUCUGCCACUGGAAGACCAGAUGGCGCCAGUGUUGGUGGUGGUCUCACGGUCCCAACACGCACCUUGGCAGAUGCUGGGGUUGGCAGCUCCCGGGUCAGCUGAACUAACAUUGCCGGCAUCUUCUGAGCGUUUGAGAGGUGCAUCUGUUCGCUCUAACAAAAUGCAAUUAUUAGUGAACACGAGCUCUAUGAUGUUGUGUUGGCCUCUGCCACACAUCAACAUGAAUCUGUCACAGCGCUACCUGGAUCUCAUCUCCUUUCCUUGCUGCCUUCACUUCCCCUUGAGGACUAAGGACUGAAGAUCCCCUGAAACUCUGCUGUAGCCAGUGGAUUCUCUACUGCUGAGCUACCAGAGAAGCUUCAAAGUACAUGACACAAGCAGAAAUGAGAGCUUCCGCAGGACUUUGGGUGGAACUCUUGGGAAAAAGACAAUCUCUUUCUACUGAGAGGCUAAUGCAGGCUAGAGUCAGCAUGGGAAGACCUGCCGGAGGAUGCAGCCAGCCUGGAGGAGAGCCAAGAGGCAGGGGAAUGAGGAGAGGGGCUCGUCCCUGCACAGUGCUUGGAGUACUUGGAUCCAGUUGUGCACGAAGAUUCCCUACUGCCUGGACUUUCAGUGAUACCAGGCUGUUUUUGCAU
Long non-coding RNA from Bos taurus (domestic cattle), 1101 nucleotides. The record is from Ensembl. Lineage: Eukaryota; Metazoa; Chordata; Mammalia; Artiodactyla; Bovidae.